CCCGCACAAGCGGUGGAUGAUGUGGAUUAAUUCGAUGCAACGAGAAAAACCUUACCUACCCUUGACAUGCCACUAACGAAGCAGAGAUGCAUUAGGUGCUCGAAAGAGAAAGUGGACACAGGUGCUGCAUGGCUGUCGUCAGCUCGUGUCGUGAGAUGUUGGGUUAAGUCCCGCAACGAGCGCAACCCUUGUCUCUAGUUGCUACGAAAGGGCACUCUAGAGAGACUGCCGGUGACAAACCGGAGGAAG
This 249-nucleotide ribosomal RNA is filed under the name Microbacterium thalli. RNAcentral describes it as "partial 16S ribosomal RNA". It matches the Rfam family "Bacterial small subunit ribosomal RNA", at positions 920 to 1172 of the family's 1533-position model. The record is from RNAcentral. Lineage: Bacteria; Bacillati; Actinomycetota; Actinomycetes; Micrococcales; Microbacteriaceae.